This 422-nucleotide ribosomal RNA is filed under the name uncultured bacterium. RNAcentral describes it as "partial 16S ribosomal RNA". It matches the Rfam family "Bacterial small subunit ribosomal RNA", at positions 362 to 776 of the family's 1533-position model. The record is from RNAcentral.
UUUUGGACAAUGGGGGAGACCCUGAUCCAGCCAUCCCGCGUGUAUGAUGAAGGCCNUCNNGUUGUNANGCACUUUAAGUUGGGNNNNNGGGCAGUAAGUUAAUACCUUGCUGUUUUGACGUUACCGACAGAAUAAGCACCGGCUAACUUCGUGCCAGCAGCCGCGGUAAUACGAAGGGUGCAAGCGUUAAUCGGAAUUACUGGGCGUAAAGCGCGCGUAGGUGGUUCAGUAAGAUGGAAGUGAAAUCCCCGGGCUUAACCUGGGAACUGCUUUCAUAACUGCUGAGCUAGAGUACGGUAGAGGGUAGUGGAAUUUCCUGUGUAGCGGUGAAAUGCGUAGAUAUAGGAAGGAACACCAGUGGCGAAGGCAGCCUCCUGGGAUAACACUGACGCUCAUGCACGAAAGCGUGGGGAGCAAACAGG